Chiroxiphia lanceolata (lance-tailed manakin) is the source of this 1473-nucleotide long non-coding RNA. RefSeq lists it as uncharacterized. The record is from RefSeq and is a predicted model, not a curated record. NCBI's taxonomy places the organism in Eukaryota, Metazoa, Chordata, Aves, Passeriformes, Pipridae. The transcript is spliced from 3 exons.
GAAAACAUUAACAAGAGAACAUGGACAAUGGUUCAGAAAUCGCCCCUUUUACUCCACUGCAAAUGGGGAAAUAGCAGCCUGACAGGCUGGAUCAUGUAGCCAGAAGGAGUCUCAUGAGGUUUAGCAAAGGAGAAUGCUGAGUCCUGCACAUGACGAGGAAUAGACUUAUGAAGUUUAACAACAGGAAAUACAAAGUCCUGGACAGCAGGAGAAACAACCCUAUGCACCAGCAUAAACUCAGGGCCAAGUGGCUGGUGAGACGCUCUGCAGACAAAGGCCUGGGAAUCCUGAUGGAGAAGUUUGAAAUGAGCCAACAGUGCACCUGUGUCACACAAGCUAUAUUAAGAAAGCUGUUUCCAGCAGGUUAGGGAAGGUAAUCAGCACUGGUAAGACAGAUCACAGAAUAAGCUGAGUUGGAAGGGACUCAUAAGGAUCAUUGAAUCUAACCAUUAGCACUGCACAGGACCAUCCACAAGAGUAACAACAUGUGCCUGAGAGUAUCUGGUAUGCUGUGCCUGGUUUUGGGCUCCUCAGUGCAAGAAGGACAUGGACAUACUAUAGUGCACCCAGCAAAGGGUCACAAAGAUGAUUCAGGAAUUGGAGCAUGUAUUAUCAUAGCAAUAAAAUAGUAUCCAAUUUACAUAAUAUUUCUUUUAUUUGUUUCAUUUGCUUUUAUGUAUUGGUUUUGUUUAUUAUUUAUUUUCUAUCUAUUUAUUUUCUUUCUAAUUUCACUUGCAAAAUAAAUUUUAUGAUGUAAAACAGUAACAUAUCAAACCAAAGCAAUAGGCAUAAGUAGAAAUAACAAUGAUUUUGGUUUUACCUUUGUUCUUUUGAGAGCUAGUUUGGCUGAGGAGUGUGAUAACACCUCUUUUUUUAUUUAAAAAAAUGGUGAAAAAUUUCAAUGUUUUGAAAAACGAAGAGGGUUGGUAUGCCUUCAGAACUACCAUCACAUAAUCUGAAAUGUACCACACAGCAUUUGAUUUUAGAUUGAGCUCUUUUACAUGAAGAUUGAGCACACAAUAAAAUAAUUAUGAAAAUGAAUAUUCCAUUUUUGUGAUAUAUAGUUUAAGAAUAAUUUUAAAUCAUAUAAAUAUAUUGCUUUCUUUGGAUGUCUCUGUUGGAAAAGUGUUUCAGCAAAAGAUGGGGUAGAGUUAGGAAAAUGAGAGGUGUAGCAAACUCUUAAAUAUACUUUCCACAUUAAGCAAAUAAAAUACAAGUUUGUUGUGCCCUAAAACCAAAUAUCAAGCUUUGUCUUUGCCCUCAGAUGGCAGCUAAAAAGGAAACACAGAGUUUUAAGACGCAGGAUGCUACAGGCACAUCUCAAGCUUAUCAAAAGAGAAUCUUUGUCCUCCUCUGUCUCACCUCAGUCUGCGGAGAAAUUGCCUGAGUUUUAUGGUGACAGUAGGAAGUAGCCAGUGGAUGCAAUUGUGUUUCCACCUCCAUUUGCUCAAGCACCACUCCUGGAUACAGGAU